GGUAAUGUGGCCGAGUAUUAGGCGGCGAGUUGUAGCCUCGCUAACCGAGGGUGACCUCGCGAUACCAAGUC
RNAcentral lists this transfer RNA (71 nucleotides) under Lygodactylus soutpansbergensis. RNAcentral's name for it is "Lygodactylus nigropunctatus soutpansbergensis tRNA-Tyr". The record is from RNAcentral. Lineage: Eukaryota; Metazoa; Chordata; Lepidosauria; Squamata; Gekkonidae.